GACGAACGCUGGCGGUGUGCUUAACACAUGCAAGUCGUACGGUAAGGCCCUUUCGGGGGUACACGAGUGGAGAACGGGGGAGUAACACGUGAUUAACCUGCGCACAACUUUGGGAUAACGCUAGUAAACUGGUGCUAAUACUGGAUAUGUGCUCCUGCUGCAUGGUGGGGGUGGGAAAGCUCCGGCGGUUGUGGAGGGACGCGCGGCCUAUCAGCUUGUUGGUGGGGUAGUGGCCUACCAAGGCGGCGCCGAGGAGCCGGCCUGAGAGGGUGACCGGCAACAGUGGGACUGGGAUACGGCCCCGACUCCUACGGGAGGCAGCAGUGGCGAAUAUUGAACAAUGGGCGCGAGCCUGAUGCAGCAACGCCGCGUCCGGGAUGACGGCCUUCGGGUUGUAAUCCGAUUUCAGCAGGGACGAAGCUUUUUGUGACGGUACCUGCAGAAGAAGCACCGGCUAACUACGUG
This 465-nucleotide ribosomal RNA is filed under the name uncultured bacterium. RNAcentral's name for it is "partial 16S ribosomal RNA". It matches the Rfam family "Bacterial small subunit ribosomal RNA", at positions 28 to 507 of the family's 1533-position model. The record is from RNAcentral.